This 427-nucleotide ribosomal RNA is filed under the name uncultured bacterium. RNAcentral describes it as "bacterial SSU rRNA". It matches the Rfam family "Bacterial small subunit ribosomal RNA", at positions 355 to 796 of the family's 1533-position model. The record is from RNAcentral.
UCGAGAAUUUUUCACAAUGGGGGAAACCCUGAUGGAGCGACGCCGCGUGGAGGAUGAAGGCCCUUGGGUUGUAAACUCCUGUCAUAAGAGAACAAGAAAGUGAUAGUAUCUUAAGAGGAAGAGACGGCUAACUCUGUGCCAGCAGCCGCGGUAAUACAGAGGUCUCAAGCGUUGUUCGGAUUCAUUGGGCGUAAAGGGUGCGCAGGCUGUGUGGUAAGUCAGGUGUGAAAUUUAGAGGCUUAACCUCUAAACUGCACUUGAUACUGCCAUGCUAGAGGACUGUAGAGGAGAUUGGAAUUCACGGUGUAGCAGUGAAAUGCGUAGAUAUCGUGAGGAAGACCGGUGGCGAAGGCGAAUCUCUGGGCAGUUCCUGACGCUCAUGCACGAAGGCUAGGGGAGCAAACGGGAUUAGAUACCCGCGUAGUCC